UACGUAGGGGGCAAUCGUUGUUCGGAUUUACUGGGCGUAAAGGGCGCGUAGGCGGCGCGUAAAGUCGGACAUGAAAUCAUUGGGCUUAACCCAAUGGCUGUGCCCGAUACUUGCGUGCUUAGAGUGCGGGAGAGGCAAUCGGAAUUCUCGGUGUAGCGGUGAAAUGCGUAGAUAUCGAGAGGAACUCCAGUGACGAAGGUGGGUUGCUGGACCGACACUGACGCUGAGGCGCGAAAGCUAGGGGAGAAAACGGG
RNAcentral lists this ribosomal RNA (254 nucleotides) under uncultured bacterium. Its description in RNAcentral is "partial 16S ribosomal RNA". It matches the Rfam family "Bacterial small subunit ribosomal RNA", at positions 524 to 776 of the family's 1533-position model. The record is from RNAcentral.